Molecule: transfer RNA, 87 nt
Filed under: Candidatus Parcubacteria bacterium
Lineage: Bacteria; Candidatus Parcubacteria
Description: tRNA-Ser
Rfam family: tRNA
About the family: Transfer RNA (tRNA) molecules are approximately 80 nucleotides in length.
Source: RNAcentral
GGAAGAGUGGCUGAGUGGUUGAAGGCACUGGUUUCGAAAACCAGCAUGGGGGCAACCUCAUCGAGAGUUCGAAUCUCUCCUCUUCCG